RNAcentral lists this ribosomal RNA (253 nucleotides) under uncultured bacterium. Its description in RNAcentral is "partial 16S ribosomal RNA". It matches the Rfam family "Bacterial small subunit ribosomal RNA", at positions 524 to 776 of the family's 1533-position model. The record is from RNAcentral.
UACGUAGGGUGCAAGCGUUAAUCGGAAUUACUGGGCGUAAAGCGUGCGCAGGCGGUUUUGUAAGUUUGCUGUGAAAUCCCCGGGCUUAACCUGGGAAUUGCGAUGAAGACUGCAAGGCUAGAAUCUGGCAGAGGGGGGUAGAAUUCCACGUGUAGCAGUGAAAUGCGUAGAGAUGUGGAGGAACACCGAUGGCGAAGGCAGCCCCCUGGGUCAAGAUUGACGCUCAUGCACGAAAGCGUGGGGAGCAAACAGG